RNAcentral lists this long non-coding RNA (268 nucleotides) under Ictidomys tridecemlineatus (thirteen-lined ground squirrel). RNAcentral's name for it is "lncRNA (ENSSTOG00000033650.1)". Lineage: Eukaryota; Metazoa; Chordata; Mammalia; Rodentia; Sciuridae. The record is from RNAcentral.
UUCACAAACCCAGUGCUGAUUUUGAAACCUGCUGAGAUAUAUCCUCCCACAAACUUUGAGCAGGGCUGGUGAGGUAGCUCCUGUCCAUCCCAGGAAGCUGUCUGCCUAUCCAACAGGUGUAUCAAGGAGGAGCUGGUACCAGGGAGCAAGUCCUAUAAUCCCAGGACUCCUGAGGCUGAGGCAGAAGGAUGGCAAGUAUGAGGCCAGCCUGAGAAGACAACUCAGUGAGACCAUGUUUCAAAAUAAGGGCUGGGGAUGUGGCUAAAAA